This 217-nucleotide ribosomal RNA is filed under the name Vibrio parahaemolyticus. RNAcentral describes it as "partial 23S ribosomal RNA". It matches the Rfam family "Bacterial large subunit ribosomal RNA", at positions 1 to 224 of the family's 2925-position model. The record is from RNAcentral. Lineage: Bacteria; Pseudomonadati; Pseudomonadota; Gammaproteobacteria; Vibrionales; Vibrionaceae.
AAGUGACUAAGCGUACACGGUGGAUGCCUUGGCAGUCAGAGGCGAUGAAAGACGUAGUAACUUGCGAUAAGCCCAGAUUAGGUAGUAACAACCAUUUGAGUCUGGGAUUUCUGAAUGGGGAAACCCACGUGCAUAAGCACGUAUCCUUACCUGAAUACAUAGGGUAAGGAGGCGAACCGGGGGAACUGAAACAUCUAAGUACCCCGAGGAAAAGAAA